This 309-nucleotide ribosomal RNA is filed under the name uncultured Armatimonadota bacterium. Its description in RNAcentral is "bacterial SSU rRNA". It matches the Rfam family "Bacterial small subunit ribosomal RNA", at positions 1 to 324 of the family's 1533-position model. Lineage: Bacteria; Bacillati; Armatimonadota. The record is from RNAcentral.
ACUGGAGUUUGAUCCUGGCUCAGGACGAACGCUUGCGGCGUGCCUAAGAAAUGCAAGUCGAACGGGGACUUCGGUCCUAGUGGCGAACGGUCGCGUAACACGUAAGCAACCUGCCCUGAAGUGGGGGACAACAUCCCGAAAGGGGUGCUAAUACCGCAUGUGGUCACGAGUCGGCAUCGACUUGUGUCUAAAAGAUUUAUCGCUUCAGGAUGGGCUUGCGGCCUAUCAGGUAGUUGGUGGGGUAAUGGCCUACCAAGCCGACGACGGGUAGCUGGUCUGAGAGGACGAUCAGCCGGAUUGGGACUGAGA